RNAcentral lists this ribosomal RNA (252 nucleotides) under uncultured bacterium. Its description in RNAcentral is "partial 16S ribosomal RNA". It matches the Rfam family "Bacterial small subunit ribosomal RNA", at positions 524 to 776 of the family's 1533-position model. The record is from RNAcentral.
UACGUAGGUCCCGAGCGUUGUCCGGAUUUAUUGGGCGUAAAGCGAGCGCAGGUGGUUUAUUAAGUCUGGUGUAAAAGGCAGUGGCUCAACCAUUGUAUGCAUUGGAAACUGGUAGACUUGAGUGCAGGAGAGGAGAGUGGAAUUCCACGUGUAGCGGUAAAAUGCGUAGAUAUAUGGAGGAACACCGGUGGCGAAAGCGGCUCUCUGGCCUGUAACUGACACUGAGGCUCGAAAGCGUGGGGAGCAAACAGG